CUAACACAUGCAAGUCGAACGGUAACAGGAAGAAGCUUGCUUCUUUGCUGACGAGUGGCGGACGGGUGAGUAAUGUCUGGGAAACUGCCUGAUGGAGGGGGAUAACUACUGGAAACGGUAGCUAAUACCGCAUAACGUCGCAAGACCAAAGAGGGGGACCUUCGGGCCUCUUGCCAUCGGAUGUGCCCAGAUGGGAUUAGCUAGUAGGUGGGGUAACGGCUCACCUAGGCGACGAUCCCUAGCUGGUCUGAGAGGAUGACCAGCCACACUGGAACUGAGACACGGUCCAGACUCCUACGGGAGGCAGCAGUGGGGAAUAUUGCACAAUGGGCGCAAGCCUGAUGCAGCCAUGCCGCGUGUAUGAAGAAGGCCUUCGGGUUGUAAAGUACUUUCAGCGGGGAGGAAGGGAGUAAAGUUAAUACCUUUGCUCAUUGACGUUACCCGCAGAAGAAGCACCGGCUAACUCCGUGCCAGCAGCCGCGGUAAUACGGAGGGUGCAAGCGUUAAUCGGAAUUACUGGGCGUAAAGCGCACGCAGGCGGUUUGUUAAGUCAGAUGUGAAAUCCCCGGGCUCAACCUGGGAACUGCAUCUGAUACUGGCAAGCUUGAGUCUCGUAGAGGGGGGUAGAAUUCCAGGUGUAGCGGUGAAAUGCGUAGAGAUCUGGAGGAAUACCGGUGGCGAAGGCGGCCCCCUGGACGAAGACUGACGC
RNAcentral lists this ribosomal RNA (709 nucleotides) under uncultured Pseudomonadota bacterium. RNAcentral's name for it is "bacterial SSU rRNA". It matches the Rfam family "Bacterial small subunit ribosomal RNA", at positions 48 to 746 of the family's 1533-position model. The record is from RNAcentral. Lineage: Bacteria; Pseudomonadati; Pseudomonadota.